UUGGGAAUUUUGCACAAUGGGGGAAACCCUGAUGCAGCGACGCCGCGUGAUUUAGAAGGCCUUCGGGUUGUAAAAAUCUUUUCUAUGGGAAGAAAAUGACAGUACCAUAGGAAUAAGGACCGGCUAAUUACGUGCCAGCAGCCGCGGUAAUACGUAAGGUCCGAGCGUUGUCCGGAAUCAUUGGGCGUAAAGGGUACGUAGGCGGGUAAGCAAGUUAGAAGUGAAAUCCUAUAGCUCAACUAUGGUAAGCUUUUAAAACUGCUCAUCUUGAGGUAUGGAAGGGAAAGUGGAAUUCCUAGUGUAGCGGUGAAAUGCGCAGAUAUUAGGAGGAAUACCGGUGGCGAAGGCGGCUUUCUGGCCAUAACCUGACGCUGAGGUGCGAAAGCGUGGGUAGCAAACAGG
Molecule: ribosomal RNA, 402 nt
Filed under: bacterium
Lineage: Bacteria
Description: partial 16S ribosomal RNA
Rfam family: Bacterial small subunit ribosomal RNA
Source: RNAcentral